Molecule: ribosomal RNA, 433 nt
Filed under: uncultured bacterium
Lineage: Bacteria
Description: partial 16S ribosomal RNA
Rfam family: Bacterial small subunit ribosomal RNA
Source: RNAcentral
AACGAACGCUGGCGGCAUGCCUAACACAUGCAAGUCGAACGAAGCCUUCGGGCUUAGUGGCGCACGGGUGCGUAACGCGUGGGAAUCUGCCCCUUGCUUCGGAAUAACAGUUAGAAAUGACUGCUAAUACCGGAUGAAGUCUUCGGACCAAAGAUUUAUCGGCAAGGGAUGAGCCCGCGUCGGAUUAGGUAGUUGGUGGGGUAAAGGCCUACCAAGCCGACGAUCCUUAGCUGGUCUGAGAGGAUGAUCAGCCACACUGGGACUGAGACACGGCCCAGACUCCUACGGGAGGCAGCAGUGGGUAAUAUUGGACAAUGGACGCAAGUCUGAUCCAGCAAUGCCGCGUGAGUGAUGAAGGCCUUAGGGUUGUAAAGCUCUUUUACCAGGGAUGAUAAUGACAGUACCUGGAGAAUAAGCGCCGGCUAACUCCGUG